Meleagris gallopavo (turkey) is the source of this 244-nucleotide non-coding RNA. The record is from RefSeq and is a predicted model, not a curated record. Lineage: Eukaryota; Metazoa; Chordata; Aves; Galliformes; Phasianidae.
AACCCAGCAAGGAUGCUGCCUCUGAGGUUGUGUAUGAGGAGCUGGACUACAGCCUGAUGCCUGAUUACCAGGAAGUGCCCAGCCACACAGGCUCCCUGUCCCAGGGCUCAGGGAGAAAACUGUCAGAUCACAGUGGGGACGGUGUAGAUGAGAGCGACCUCCAGGUGUCCCCAGAUUACCCUGCCCAGCCCCAGCACAGCCCCUCACAUGGCUACGACGAUGCUAUGGCUGUGCCGGAGCAUUC